UACAGAGGGUGCGAGCGUUAAUCGGAAUUACUGGGCGUAAAGCGCACGUAGUCGGCUUUGCAAGUCGGGUGUGAAAUCCCCAGGCCUAACCUGGGAACUGCAUUCGAGACUGCAUGGCUAGAGUAUCGGAGAGGGAAGUGGAAUUUCAGGUGUAGCGGUGAAAUGCGUAGAUAUCUGAAGGAACAUCAGUGGCGAAAGCGGCUUCCUGGACGAAUACUGACGCUCAUGUGCGAAAGCGUGGGGAGCAAACAGG
RNAcentral lists this ribosomal RNA (253 nucleotides) under uncultured bacterium. Its description in RNAcentral is "partial 16S ribosomal RNA". It matches the Rfam family "Bacterial small subunit ribosomal RNA", at positions 524 to 776 of the family's 1533-position model. The record is from RNAcentral.